AGAGUUUGAUCCUGGCUCAGAUUGAACGCUGGCGGCAUGCCUUACACAUGCAAGUCGAACGGCAGCGGGCCCUUCGGGGUGCCGGCGAGUGGCGAACGGGUGAGUAAUGCAUCGGAACGUACCCGGGAGAGGGGGAUAACCGGCCGAAAGGCUGGCUAAUACCGCAUGAACUCGGAAGAGCAAAGCGGGGGACCUUCGGGCCUCGCGCUCUCGGAGCGGCCGAUGUCCGAUUAGGCUAGUUGGUGGGGUAAAGGCCCACCAAGGCGACGAUCGGUAGCGGGUCUGAGAGGACGAUCCGCCACACUGGGACUGAGACACGGCCCAGACUCCUACGGGAGGCAGCAGUGGGGAAUCUUGGACAAUGGGCGCAAGCCUGAUCCAGCAAUGCCGCGUGGGUGAAGAAGGCCUUCGGGUUGUAAAGCCCUUUCGGCGGGGAAGAAAUCGGUCAGGCGAAUAGUCUGGCCGGAUGACGGUACCCGCAGAAGAAGCACCGGCUAACUACGUG
RNAcentral lists this ribosomal RNA (505 nucleotides) under uncultured Tepidiphilus sp. RNAcentral describes it as "bacterial SSU rRNA". It matches the Rfam family "Bacterial small subunit ribosomal RNA", at positions 8 to 507 of the family's 1533-position model. The record is from RNAcentral. Lineage: Bacteria; Pseudomonadati; Pseudomonadota; Hydrogenophilia; Hydrogenophilales; Hydrogenophilaceae.